UCAACAAAAUCCUAGCCUCUUCAUCAUAUAAAACAGAAAUUCCUAGGAUACAAUGUCAUACGCCUUCUUAAAGCCCACCUUAAGGAUUGCACAUUCCUUCCUACACCUCCUAACUUCUUCUACCACCUCAUUGGAUAUAAGGACACCAUCAAACAUGUAUCUCUCACUCAAGAAGGCACAUUGUCUGACAUCUAUAACCUUAGGUAAGACUUUUCUCACUCUAUUGGAUAGAACUUUUGAAAUGACUUU
This 249-nucleotide long non-coding RNA is filed under the name Glycine max (soybean). RNAcentral's name for it is "long non-coding RNA (GMAX_LNC002930)". The record is from RNAcentral. Lineage: Eukaryota; Viridiplantae; Streptophyta; Magnoliopsida; Fabales; Fabaceae.